AAUCAACUUCUUUUUUUAUCAGCCAUCCAGUCUUUGGUAUUUCGUUAUAGCAUCUCGAGUGGCCCAAGACCCCCAGCCAGAGAGCAGUACAGCUGGAAGUCACAGCACCUCACAUGCCCACUCUUCCAUCUCAUCCUCCCCAAAAUACCUGAGAUAGGUGGUUGCCGUUUUCAGAUGAAGAAACAGUUCCAUAAGUUAAGUGACUUGCUGAGGAUACAAUUAAUUUCAGGAGAUGUUUUCAUUCCAUUUAGAAACCAGACCUUAUCAUUGAUUAUUUAGAUGUGUUUCUUUUCCUUUCCUUAGGCCUUACAAUCUGGUGACAUGCCAAGAGAAUGCAAUGGGAUCAGAUCCCUAUGUUGAAACCCUAAGCCCCAAUGUGGCUGAAGAUGGAGCCUCUAAAGAACUUAUGAGGGAAGUACGAUUGUCAAUACCUCCGCUUUUCAGAAGAGGCAACUGAGCUAUGAAGAUAACCUGCCCAGGGUCACAUAUCUGGAAGUCAGUAUGAAGAAAGAGGCAGCAUGGUUUAACUGAAAAAGCACAGGUUUGAUGUCAGACAGACCUGCAUGGCUCCACCACUUACCAACUGCGUGACCCCUGGAGCCCAUGCUGUUAUGAGAUGCUGUUGAAGACUCUGGUUUACCCAGAUGCAUGUCAGUGAAAACAGCCUUUCUGUGAAGAGAAUGAGACUUCUGAGGAUGAAUGGACCUGUGGGAAAAGGAGAUCCUUUUGCAGAGUUUGGAAAAAGAAAAAAUAAAGCCAUUUGCCCUGCAGGGAUGACAGAACACUUUCUUUCCUAAUCAGUGGGUCACCACCUCUGUGCUAUGUUGGGGGAGACAUCAUCUAAUUCUAAGCCUAAGGCUGGGUCAUCAGAUACACUGUCUUCUCUGGACCCUUCUCUGAGCUUCCUGUACCAGUUUUCAUCAACAAAUUUCUCUGCUUCCUUGGACCAGCUGAAAAGAAGUUAUGAGCUCUCUCCAUCAUUUGCCAAACUCCUAGGCCUUUCCUCCUUUGAAAUCUUCUUAUUUGGGGUCUUUUUUCCUUUCCAUGUUUCUUCUCCUCUCUCCACAACCUUUUUAUCUCUGGAGAGUUCUGUCUGUGCCUCUGGGCCUCUCUCUUUCUAUUUAGUUUUCAGAACCCAUUCUGGGAUUCUAUUUUAGUCCAUCUAUCUCUCCAACUGACCAUGGUUGAAACCAGGGAGCGUAAUCAGUCCCAGCUGCUGGAGGCGUAGGCUUUGGUUCUGCCCCGCAUCAUCGCCUCAUUGUGGGCUGAUAUUUUCUGUUUCCCAUAAUGCUCCAGGAGAACUGCCUGUUCAGAGCUCAGAUUGUGCUUUUUCUCCUCCUGCCAAGGAGCCAUGCUUUCAAAACCCAGAUUAUAAAGAUGGGACAUUAAAAAAAAAUGAAUUUAUACUAUCUCAGCAUUUCCAUUUCCAAUAGCAGAGUUCUCAUGCUUUGAUAAUUCCAGAGUGAGAACACAAAUUGUUAAGUGGAUUGUGAGGGAGGAUUCUAGUUGGAGAUAAAGCUUCUCUCCUUUGAGGUCUCUUGCUGUUCCCUGCACCCCCCUCCUAGAUUUUCUCACUCUGUACUGAUACGGUCUAUUUACAUGACCCUGUUUCACCCUCCAGUCAGAGGGCUUGGAGGACAGGGACUCUGUCUCUCAGGCUGCCAGCCCCAUAGGUGAUCAACAUGUAUAUGGAUUAAAGAUCUUUUUCUCCUCCUGAAGAUUUGUCUUCAAGCUGAGCCACCCACUGAAUAUGUCUUGAGAUCCUGGGUGGUUUCAAAGGAUUCCAGCUGAGAAGAGCCUUGCUGAGGGGGAGGCAAGCAGAGAAGGAAGAUGUAGGAGAGAAGGAGGAGGGCAGCAGAGCAUGGCCCCAGAAGUCAGGACUGGAGUGAAUGCUGCUGAAAUAGAACCAGAGGGAAGGAUCCCUUUAGUCCUCCCAUCUCAGAGGACCUGACUGUUUCCUUCAAAUCUCCCCAUUUUCAGGGAUAAUAAAAUUGAUAACGAAGAUGAUAACAGUGGUGAAUAAUUGAUACUGAUACCGUCUUGUUCUAAAU
Molecule: long non-coding RNA, 2051 nt
Organism: Lagenorhynchus albirostris (white-beaked dolphin)
Lineage: Eukaryota; Metazoa; Chordata; Mammalia; Artiodactyla; Delphinidae
Exons: 5
Source: RefSeq, a predicted model, not a curated record